This 344-nucleotide unclassified non-coding RNA is filed under the name soil metagenome. RNAcentral describes it as "partial contains 5.8S ribosomal RNA, internal transcribed spacer 2, and large subunit ribosomal RNA". The stretch from base 1 to 120 matches the Rfam family "5.8S ribosomal RNA", at positions 35 to 154 of the family's 154-position model. The record is from RNAcentral.
GAUGAAGAACGUAGCGAAAUGCGAUAAGUAAUGUGAAUUGCAGAAUUCAGUGAAUCAUCGAAUCUUUGAACGCACAUUGCGCCCGCCAGUAUUCUGGCGGGCAUGCCUGUUCGAGCGUCAUUUCAACCCUCAAGCCCCCGGGCUUGGUGUUGGGGAUCGGCGUGCCCUCGCGGCGCGCCGUCCCCUAAAUCUAGUGGCGGUCUCGCGGUAGCUUCCUCUGCGUAGUAGCAACACUCGCACUGGAUCGCAGCGCGGCCACGCCGUUAAACCCCCCACUUCUGAAAGUUUGACCUCGGAUCAGGUAGGAAUACCCGCUGAACUUAAGCAUAUCAAUAAGCGGAGGA